GCUUUAUUCUAUGCUUGCUUGCUUGGCUUAGGGUUAGCUAUACCUUAUCAUAACUUGAGAGUUUCCAAACUCCCAUCUAUUUUUGCCUUACUAGGUUUAGCUAAUUCUCCAAACCAACUCAAGAGUUUCAGCUAAUAACCCUAUGUUUCAUUCCAUAAUUCACUACAAUUUCAGCUCUCUUAAUUUCAGCUUGUUCAUUG
RNAcentral lists this long non-coding RNA (200 nucleotides) under Elaeis guineensis (African oil palm). RNAcentral describes it as "long non-coding RNA (EGUI_LNC004694)". Lineage: Eukaryota; Viridiplantae; Streptophyta; Magnoliopsida; Arecales; Arecaceae. The record is from RNAcentral.